Molecule: ribosomal RNA, 440 nt
Filed under: uncultured bacterium
Lineage: Bacteria
Description: partial 16S ribosomal RNA
Rfam family: Bacterial small subunit ribosomal RNA
Source: RNAcentral
CCUACGGGUGGCAGCAGUGGGGAAUAUUGCGCAAUGGGGGCAACCCUGACGCAGCAACGCCGCGUGAUUGAAGAAGGCCUUCGGGUUGUAAACCUCUGUCAGUGGGGACGAUAAUGACGGUACCCACGGAGGAAGCCACGGCUAACUACGUGCCAGCAGCCGCGGUAAUACGUAGGUGGCAAGCGUUGUCCGGAAUUACUGGGUGUAAAGGGAGCGUAGGCGGGAUGUCAAGUCAGAAGUGAAAAUUAUGGGCUCAACUCAUAACCUGCUUUUGAAACUGAUAUUCUUGAGUGAAGUAGAGGCAAGCGGAAUUCCUAGUGUAGCGGUGAAAUGCGUAGAUAUUAGGAGGAACACCAGUGGCGAAGGCGGCUUGCUGGGCUUUUACUGACGCUGAGGCUCGAAAGCGUGGGGAGCAAACAGGAUUAGAUACUCGUGUAGUC